RNAcentral lists this ribosomal RNA (346 nucleotides) under uncultured bacterium. RNAcentral describes it as "partial 16S ribosomal RNA". It matches the Rfam family "Bacterial small subunit ribosomal RNA", at positions 338 to 682 of the family's 1533-position model. The record is from RNAcentral.
CCUACGGGAGGCAGCAGUGAGGAAUAUUGGUCAAUGGCCGGAAGGCUGAACCAGCCAAGCCGCGUGAGGGAAGAAGGCCCUAUGGGUUGUAAACCUCUUUUAUAAGGGAAGAAGAAAUGCUACGUGGAGCAUGAUGCGUGUACCUUAUGAAUAAGCAUCGGCUAACUCCGUGCCAGCAGCCGCGGUAAUACGGAGGAUGCGAGCGUUAUCCGGAUUUAUUGGGGUUAAAGGGUGCGUAGGCGGUUUGUUAAGUUAGUGGUUAAACGUCGGGGCUGCACCUUGAUUUGCCAUUGAUACUGUCAGCCUCGAGUUCAGACGCGGUAGGCGGCAUGCGUUCCGUAGCGGU